GAGCACGUAGGUGGGUUUGUAAGUCAGAUGUGAAAGCCUUCUGUUCAACGGGAGAAUUGCAUCUGAAACUACAGACCUUGAGUGUAGGAGGGGAGAAUGGAACUUCUGGUGGAGCGGUGAAAUGCGUAGAUAUCAGAAGGAACGCCGGCGGCGAAAGCGAUUCUCUGGCCUAUUACUGACACUCAGUGUGCGAAAGCUAGGGGAGCAAACGGGAUUAGAUACCCCGGUAGUCCUAGCCGUAAACGAUGGGCACUAAGUAGAGGGGUUA
RNAcentral lists this ribosomal RNA (268 nucleotides) under uncultured Planctomycetales bacterium. RNAcentral's name for it is "partial 16S ribosomal RNA". It matches the Rfam family "Bacterial small subunit ribosomal RNA", at positions 565 to 831 of the family's 1533-position model. The record is from RNAcentral. Lineage: Bacteria; Pseudomonadati; Planctomycetota; Planctomycetia; Planctomycetales.